GACGUGACUUCAGAGUUUGAUCCUGGCUCAGGAUGAACGCUGGCGGCGUGCCUAACACAUGCAAGUCGAACGGGACUAUUUCAGAUCUUUUCGGAGUGAUGAUCUAGUUUAGUGGCGGACGGGUGAGUAACGCGUGGACAACCUGCCUCUCACUGGGGGAUAGCAGCUGGAAACGGCUGGUAAUACCGCAUGCGUUCAAUGUGCCGCAUGACACAUUGAAGAAAGAUUUAUCGGUGAGAGAUGGGUCCGCGUCUGAUUAGCCAGUUGGCGGGGUAACGGCCCACCAAAGCGACGAUCAGUAGCCGGCCUGAGAGAGCGGACGGCCACAUUGGGACUGAGACACGGCCCAG
This 350-nucleotide ribosomal RNA is filed under the name uncultured bacterium. RNAcentral's name for it is "bacterial SSU rRNA". It matches the Rfam family "Bacterial small subunit ribosomal RNA", at positions 1 to 334 of the family's 1533-position model. The record is from RNAcentral.